UACGGAGGGGGCUAGCGUUGUUCGGAAUUACUGGGCGUAAAGCGCACGUAGGCGGCUUUGUAAGUUAGAGGUGAAAGCCCGGGGCUCAACUCCGGAAUUGCCUUUAAGACUGCAUCGCUAGAAUUGUGGAGAGGUAAGUGGAAUUCCGAGUGUAGAGGUGAAAUGCGCAGAUAUCAGGAGGAACACCGGUGGCGAAGGCGGGUCUCUGGGCCGAUACUGACGCUGAGGAGCGAAAGCGUGGGGAGCAAACAGG
Molecule: ribosomal RNA, 253 nt
Filed under: uncultured bacterium
Lineage: Bacteria
Description: partial 16S ribosomal RNA
Rfam family: Bacterial small subunit ribosomal RNA
Source: RNAcentral